GGUGGCUCAGUGGUAGAGUGCUUGCUUAGCAUGCAUGAAGCCCUGGGUUCGAUUCCUCAGCACCA
Molecule: transfer RNA, 65 nt
Filed under: Dipodomys ordii (Ord's kangaroo rat)
Lineage: Eukaryota; Metazoa; Chordata; Mammalia; Rodentia; Heteromyidae
Rfam family: tRNA
About the family: Transfer RNA (tRNA) molecules are approximately 80 nucleotides in length.
Source: Rfam by way of RNAcentral